GACUAAUUAACCUUUUCAGCGCCAAAGUCUGAUAUAUAAGACGUUAAAGUUUCGUGCCCUCGCCGCCAAAGUCUGAUAUAUCAGACAAAUAAAUCUUACCAAUUUAACUCUAUUUUUUCUAAUCGUUAUAGUACCUGAUCACAUAUGCAUAAAAUUUUCAGACAGUUUAUACUUUAGUUAAUCAAAAAUAACAAUUUCACAAUGUAUUAUAACGUUAUUUUAAUAAUAAAUUAUUAAAAAAGAAACCGUGUUUAUUGAUUAAAUCCGACUCUUUUUUUAUUUGAACCCUCAGCGCCAAUGUCUGAUAUAUAAGACAUUAGUGAUGUUACAUUACAAUGUAACUACCAAAGCCUAAAUAAAUAAAAUAAAUCAGGUACUCUAAAAAGAAACUUCUAAAAAAGUCAGAAUUAUACAGAUUUUUGUUUUGGGCAUAAACAUUUUUAAGUGUGAUGUUAUUUUACAAGUUUUACCACAGAAAAUGGAAUUAUUUUCAAAUUAUGUUUUGAAUCGAAUCCAGUAAAUUUCAUGGUAUGUCACAACACUAUAGCGACACGAUCAUGCAUCAGUCUCGUGCGCCAACGUCUGAUAAAUCAGACACGGAAGUGACGUCAGAGGCGAUAGAUGUUUCUAGAACUAUUUAUUUUGUGCUGUACAAUGAGGGUAGGAGAUAUCGAUAAAUUAUGGAAGUACCCUGCAAAAUCAUGUUAUUUAUUGGGUUAUCAUGUUUGCGUUGCUGUGUUGAUGUAUUAUCAUUGUAAAUUAAUAUUUAUUGAAAUAUGACCACUACAGAGGAGUUGAUUAGGAUUUUAGAAGGAACUAGUGAUGGUGAAUUUGAAAGUGAUGAAGUGUUCUUACAUAAUCAACAGGGACAAGAUGACGAAUUUAAUUGGUUGGCAGGAGCACCGCCGCCUCCAGUUAUCGACGAGUUCGAUCAUUUUACGUCAGGAAUAUCACCAAGUUUAAUAUCAAAGGCUUCGUCUGAACUGGAAAUCUUUGAACAUUUUAUUAAUUUAGAACUUAUCGAACAUAUGGUUAAAUGCACUAAUCAAUACCAUCAACGUCUAGUGAGAACUCUUCCAUUGAAAACGUACUCAAGAUUACACCGAUGGAGUGACGUCACAGUACAAGACAUGUAUAUAUUUUUAAGUGUCACCAUGUUAAUGACAAGAAAUUCACAUUUGUCUAUUGAAGAACAUUGGUCGACGGAUCCCCUAUUAUGUGCUCCUAUAUUUGGGAAGUUAAUGACUCGCAACAGAUAUUGUAUGAUUUUAGGUAUGCUCUGUUUCCAUGAUCUGACAGCAGCACCAGCAUCAACGUCUGAUUUAAGACUAACUAAGCUAGAACUUAUUAUACAACAUGCACGUAGAUUGUUUAAAGAAUCAUUGGUUCCUUACAAGAAUUUGUGUAUCGAUGAAAGCAUCGUCCCUUUUAAAGGGCGCCUUGUUUUCAAGCAAUAUAUGCCUAGAAAACGAAAUAGAUUUGGGAUAAAGCUUUUUGUACUAUGUGAUAUUGAAACUGGAUGCAUAGUGGACUUCAUAGUAUAUUGUGGUGCAACCACUGAUGUUGCAGAUAUUCCGGAUUUGGGCAAAAGUGGGUCUGUCGUAGUUAAACUCCUUGAAGACUAUUUUGAUUGUAACAGGUGCUUAUAUGUUGACAACUGGUACAGUAGUCCUUCGCUGUUUAAGUAUUUAAAAAAUAAGAAAA
Plodia interpunctella (Indianmeal moth) is the source of this 1704-nucleotide long non-coding RNA. RefSeq lists it as uncharacterized. NCBI's taxonomy places the organism in Eukaryota, Metazoa, Arthropoda, Insecta, Lepidoptera, Pyralidae. The record is from RefSeq and is a predicted model, not a curated record. The transcript has 2 exons.